GGCUCAUCCAAGCCAAAUGGCCGGUGGCAAUGCUAUUUAAACAGCACUCUACCAUUCAAACCUUACCUCUAACGAGAGGCAAAGCAGUGAGGUCUUAUUCUAAAAGUGCAUGUGUAAGUGGUUUUGCUUGAUCCAGCGUUUAGGUCUGAGACCUCCAGCUUACCAACCGCCUUCCACUUUGCAGCCCUCUCAGAGGCAGCGGAGACUCCAGGGCCCUGAGAUUCUGAUCCUGCACUCCUCCUAUCACGUGACCUCGGCUCCUUAAAAGAGGACACUUGCUCUUAAUUUUCUUGUCUACAAAACUGGGGCAGCAAUAGGAAGGCCAGUCUCCUUCACUGAGGGAUUCCGGGUAAAAUGAAAUGACUGCCUCAUUACCUUGCAGUGACAACUCUGCAAAUGGAGUACUGUCUUUGAACAGAAGGUCAGCAGCAGCAGAGUGUGCUGUCUGUGCUUGUCUGUGACAAGAAAAGACCAUGCCAGUCAAGUCUUGGUCGUUAUGUAGUGGAGAGUGUUGCCAUUGGCCCCUAUCCUACGCCUCACCACCUCCUGCAGGCUGCUGACUCCACGCCCUUGUGACUUGGUCACAGGACUUUCCUGGCCAGGGUACUUGGUCUACAGGCAAGGUACAGUCGGGUGCUGGGAGCCAGUGCAUCCCCCUGCUAUCAGCAAUCCUCCAACAAUAAGCCCUCAUUGGGUAGUGAAUGCUCCAGCUGCCUUGCCUAUGGGGGUGGGCAGCUCUGAGACGUAGGGUCUGUGUGGCCUCCCACAGGGGCCCAGUGUCUUGCGUGGUGUUGCCCAUAGCAGGAACCUACUCAUGCACUACCUCUGGGCCUCUUCCCCUUCUCCUCUCCUUCCUACUCCACUUCAGGGCCCCCUGGCUUCAUCUCCCAAAUGCACUCUGGAUUGACUUCUUGGGGAGCCCAAUCUAUGAUGGAAAUAUUACAGAUAUUGGCCAAGGAACACUUUGUUCCUCAGCGUCUCAUGCACCCUCACUCUGCUCACAGCUUGCUGCUUCCUUUUAGAUUUCAUGUCUCUCUGCCAUUUCCCACAGUCCUUGCUGCCCACAGCCCCAUCAGGCCGAGUUGAAUAUUCAUGCAUGAAAAUUUGACCAACUCGGCUCUUCAUGCGCUACUGUCACAGCAUCAGCCCGGGCACUGUAGAUUCUCAGAGUGGGAUGUCGAGUGGGACGUGUCCUGUUGUCUUGAAUUAGCAGCCAGUACCCAGAGUGAGGACCAAGGGGGUGAGGUAGCCCUUGGUCUCAGGAGCACUGCCUGUCAUAGGGGUGGAUACUACUCCUCGGGGCUUCAGAGCGGGUCCUGCACCCACCUGAGUCUCUUGUGUUGAUCAGGGUGUAGUGGAGGGCUGGAGGCUGGACAGCACCUGCCCUCCCAACUUGACUUGUCACAGUACUGUGUCUGCAAAGGCCAUCUAUGUGGAGCCACACCUCCCGGGACCUUCUGCUUCACUCUGCCCCGGUGCCACCUUUUUGACCCCAGGCUGUGUCCUCUGGUGCCACCUCCCCUCCUUCUUCCACCUCACCUGUUGGGGCCACCUUACCUAUUCACAGCACGGUCACCUUUCCCAGUAACUCUGGUUGGGUCGUUAAACUCGCCCGCCCUCUGGCCGUUGAGUCCUGGUGCCCUCUGAUCAGGCCCAUCCCGGAGGAGCCCUGCUGUUUUGGUCUCCGGACUCAGGCCUGGCAAUCCCAGGGGCAAAGGCCCAACCCCAGGCAUAGAUCAGACCCCUCAUGCCUCAGCCCCAGUCCCCAGCCAGUCUCCCACAGCCUGGCUGCCUCAUCGCCUUGCUCUGGGGCUGGUCCUCCACGCUCCAUGGUGGUUAUUUUUACCCUCACCCCCGCCCACAACCUCGCGCUCCGCCAGCCUUUCUGGAGUGUGCUCACAGAGCAUGCGCUGAAGAGGGAGCAAGGAAGGUGGCGAACGCAGGAGGGGCAGCCGUGUCCAGUGCUGCACUGUGUCCGGUGGCAGAGGCCUGUGCCAGUGGGAAGCUCCCUCCACCAUCUGGGAUGGAGUCAUUGCUUUACAGCAGUCAUAGCUGCUGUCAUGAAAGAUGAAGCUGGUCUCCAGGACACUAGGAGGUUGCAAAGAGCCACAUGAGUUUAUUGGAUAUGACAGAAUUUCUCCAAGUGGGGAAGCUAAAUUAAGCAAAUGAGUCUUGCACCGUCACCCAGGCUGGCGUGCAAUGGUGCCAUCUCGGCUCACUGCAACUUCCGUCUCCCAGGUUCACGCGAUUCUCCUGUCUCAGCCUCCCGAGUAGCUGUGAUUACAGGCGCGCACUACCACAUCCGGCUAAUUCUUUGUACUUUUAGUAGAGACAGGGUUUCGCUCUGUUGGCCACACUGGUCUGGAACUACUGACCUCAUGAUCUGCCCGCUUCGGCCUCCCAAAGUGCUGGGAUUACAGGCAUGAACCACCAUGCCCGGCCAGAAAACCCUAUUGUUAACGGGAAAGUAAUAUUGUAACGAUAUCUGUUCUCCCAAAAUUAAAAUACAAA
RNAcentral lists this long non-coding RNA (2511 nucleotides) under Homo sapiens (human). Its description in RNAcentral is "HSALNT0353667". Lineage: Eukaryota; Metazoa; Chordata; Mammalia; Primates; Hominidae. The record is from RNAcentral.